GUUGGAUCAUACGUAACUAAUCCUACCGAGCACUCUAAGGUCGUUAGAAUUCGUGACAUGGACUUGCUAUCUGGGAGUGCUGGGGUGGUCAUGGAUCAAGGUUCUUGGAUUAACAUAUAGUUGAUACAUUGCUUUUGAAAAUUUAUUAUGAAAUAGUUGUUAAACGAUUUAUUAUAUGCUUCCGCUACACAACUCUUUGAAAUAAUCUUAUGAUUGACAUUUACUAUUGGUAAUUAAUGACAUGUUUUGUUUAAAUACUA
Helianthus annuus (common sunflower) is the source of this 260-nucleotide long non-coding RNA. RefSeq lists it as uncharacterized. Lineage: Eukaryota; Viridiplantae; Streptophyta; Magnoliopsida; Asterales; Asteraceae. The record is from RefSeq and is a predicted model, not a curated record. The transcript is spliced from 2 exons.